CCUACGGGGGGCAGCAGUGGGGAAUAUUGGGCAAUGGGCGCAAGCCUGACCCAGCAACGCCGCGUGAAGGAAGAAGGCUUUCGGGUUGUAAACUUCUUUUCUCAGGGACGAAGCAAGUGACGGUACCUGAGGAAUAAGCCACGGCUAACUACGUGCCAGCAGCCGCGGUGAUACGUAGGUGGCAAGCGUUAUCCGGAUUUACUGGGUGUACAGGGCGUGUAGGCGGGAAAGCAAGUCAGAUGUGAAAACCAUGGGCCCAAACUGUGGCCUGCAUUUGAAACUGUUUUUCUUGAGUACUGGAGAGGCAGACGGAAUUCCUAGUGUAGCGGUGAAAUGCGUAGAUAUUAGGAGGAACACCAGUGGCGAAGGCGGUCUGCUGGACAGCAACUGACGCUGAGGCGCGAAAGCGUGGGGAGCAAACAGGAUUAGAUACCCGGGUAGUC
RNAcentral lists this ribosomal RNA (443 nucleotides) under uncultured bacterium. RNAcentral describes it as "partial 16S ribosomal RNA". It matches the Rfam family "Bacterial small subunit ribosomal RNA", at positions 338 to 795 of the family's 1533-position model. The record is from RNAcentral.